UAUUACUUUUUUGACGAAACAUCCAGUUUGAUGUUCAUAGGUGUGGCGAGGACAAAUCAUCGCUAUAUAAAGGAAUAUCCAUUGGCGAUGUCAGUUAUAUCUCAGAAGAUAUACUAUCUUGAUAUUUCAUCAUGAACAAGCUGGUUUUCCUCGUUGUUGUUCUGGCCAUGGUUGCCGUUGCUUCUGCUCAGUUGAUCACCAGCGGAGGAGUUAAGGACUGGGCUGGAAAUUACUACGAUUUCACUACCGGCCAAGUGGCCAGCUCUGCUACUGGACGAGUCUACAACACUGGUGUUCUUCCCAUUCCAUAUGCCGCACAUCAUGCAGUGCUUCUCUAAAGAUGAAGAUGGCAACUUCCAUUAAAAAAUUCUUCAAACACCUGGAUGUUCGAAAAAGUCAAAAAUAGUUUCAACCUUACAGUCACAGUAAUUUCAGUGUGUUCUUAUGAUUAGAUAAAUCUGAUGCAUUUUUUUAAAACACUGCAAAACAUUGCUGUAAAAUUUUAAAAAAAUAAACUUUUUUAGAAAGCA
Stegodyphus dumicola is the source of this 530-nucleotide long non-coding RNA. NCBI's taxonomy places the organism in Eukaryota, Metazoa, Arthropoda, Arachnida, Araneae, Eresidae. The record is from RefSeq and is a predicted model, not a curated record.